GAGAGGGGAGCUGCAAACCGCGCGAGCCGCAGAAAACCUCCCCCGGCCGUCCCGCGCGGUUGUGACCGGUCGAGUCGCUACCCCGGGCGCCAAACAUCGUUUGUUUUUCUCUCUCGGAGGGGAAGGGGUGGGCGGGGGCCUCCGUGGCCGCUACCCGACGGCGAUGGCUUCUUCGGAGGUGGCCACAAACUCGCGCGCGUUGGUGGCGGUGCGGGUAAGAGGACGCGCGCGGUCAGGUGUCGCCCGAACCGUGCGUCAAACUUUUGGAGAGGAAGGUCAUCUCGCCCGAGCGCUGCUGAACGCCCGCGGAUGCAAAUUAUUGCCGGAUGGAAUUGAACCGGCGAUCCAGCACUCACCGAUUCACCCGAGUAAAUUGUUCGACGGCAAGCGGAAACUUGAACCGUUGGACAUCGCGCCGAGUGACACUCGGUUUGAAAUCCUGAAGGGAGGGAGGGAGGAGGUAAAAACCGCAUCGGAGAACCACAGCGGCCGCAGCCGUGAAAACCAACACGGGCCCAAUCUCAGCACUGGAGGAGCAUCUCAGCUGUGAGCUCAGGGACAAGGAAGAAUAAUACAGCACGUGCAUGGAGUCCAUUCCUAAACCUUUGAACAGACGAUUUAUUACUCGUGUAUUUGUGGCCCACGCGGUCAUGGAGUCACGGACCCCCGAGGAGUGAGGAGCGGAUAAUAAAACGGAACCAGCGUGCGCAUGGAAACCGCGAACGAGAACGGCCAAAGCUGCAGCCGAGAUUAUGGGUACCGGUGGAUCCAUCAACCGCAUCAGAACAUCGACAAGGCCGACGCGCACAGCUCCUUCAUGAACGGAAAAAGAAAAGACACAAGCCACGCUGUGGCCGUGGCUAUGCGACCCAAUUUAUGGACCAUCUUGUAAACACACAGAGAGACUAAUCGAGAUAGACCGUGACUUUUGAUGAUGGUGAUGAUGAAUGAUGUUUGUAUACGCAUUACUUUGAUGGAAUACAAAUUCAGUUUCAAUUUAAAGAGAUAGUAAAAUUGUAUGUAGUUAUUUGAACAAAAAAAUUCACCCAAACUCUUUUUAACUAAGGUUUAAACGAAUGUUGCUUGCAUGGUGUCCUUUAUUUUACGUGUAAAAAUGUGAAAAAAGCUGGUUUGGAGUUAAGCCGUUUGAUUGAUCACGCUUUGCAAGUGUUCAUUUAAAUAAAACAGUUACACGGAAA
This is a long non-coding RNA of Petromyzon marinus (sea lamprey), 1199 nucleotides long. RefSeq lists it as uncharacterized. Lineage: Eukaryota; Metazoa; Chordata; Hyperoartia; Petromyzontiformes; Petromyzontidae. The record is from RefSeq and is a predicted model, not a curated record.